Molecule: ribosomal RNA, 253 nt
Filed under: uncultured bacterium
Lineage: Bacteria
Description: partial 16S ribosomal RNA
Rfam family: Bacterial small subunit ribosomal RNA
Source: RNAcentral
UACAGAGACUGCAAGCGUUAUUCGGAUUCACUGGGCGUAAAGGGUGCGCAGGCGGUUGGGUGUGUCAGAUGUGAAAUCCCGAGGCUCAACCUCGGAACUGCGUCUGAAACUACUCGACUAGAGUACUGGAGAGAGUAACGGAAUUCACGGUGUAGCAGUGAAAUGCGUAGAUAUCGUGAGGAACACCAGAGGCGAAGGCGGUUACCUGGACAGUUACUGACGCUCAGGCACGAAAGCAUGGGGAGCAAAAGGG